CAGCGUUCAAUUAAGCUGUUAUGUUUUUUUUUGGUGUUACUAAUUUAUUUUUUCUGAAACAUGUUUUUCUUAGUGUUCAUUCUUAAUCAUCCUUAAUAAUAAGAACCAUACUAACAUGUAUAAUAAGAUCUCUACUAAUAUCUUACUUAAGUAAUAGCUAAGUUUUAUAUGUUUUGUCAUUCAAAGCAUGUAUAUUCUUAGCAUUUCCAUUACAGUAGAUAGUAGUUUUAAACAUUUUGUAAAAACCAUUGUUAAAAAUCGUCAGGAAAAUUCAUCUGAUUUUUCAAAAAAGUCAUUUAAUUUUAUAUAAAUAGUUGGCUACGAACCCUGUUGGAGAAACAUUGUUUUAAUAUGAGUUUUUUUGUUUUACAUUGCAAUGUGUAUCUCAAACAAUAAUAAGAAUUGUUUUGUGUCAGUCCCAGAAAUUGAAUGCGCACCUGCAAAUUUCAUAAUUCAUAAAAAUAUUAUGAAUCCAUUAGCAAGUAUAUAUUUUUAUCAUUAAAGGUUUGGCCCUCUGUCUUUAAUUUUAUCUGUUUUGUUAGUGAUUGUUGUAUUUACUUUCAUAAAUUCUAAAUAUAAUAUAUAAUUAGUUGUAUAGUUUCUUAAUAAUAUAAUUAACUUUAUUGUUUCAAGAUAAAGUUGUAUCCUUGAUAGAUAUUCUGGUAUUAUUGGCACAAUGGGCAAGCAUUGAAGUGCAACUUGGUGAACUACAAAAUACAUCAAAUUCAGUUAUAAAAUUUUGAGUAUCAAAGGUAUGCUAAUUAUUGUAUUGCCUGAAAGAGUGUCAUUGCCAUUAAAAGCAGUGAAGAAUUCAAGUACUUUGGAAGAAAAAAGACAAGAAAACACUUCAGUAAAUGGCUGUGUAUUUUUGCAAGUUAAUUAUUUGGCACAAAUUGGAGUGAAAGACGAAGGAGAUUGUAUAUGUUAUUUACUAAGAAUAGUUUAUUAAAAUGGCCUAGCUCUAAAAUUAAAUUAUGCAGGGAGAGGAUAAAAAUUGGAAUAGGAAAAAUGUUGAUUGCGUAUGCUGCUAUUGAAACUGUGAAGUCAAUUAAGCAUGGCUUAUGCAGACAUAUGAUAGAGAUAGCGGAAGAAAAAAUGAUAAUCGUGGGGACCAAAUAUCAUAAGCUAAACACGAUUCAAUAACAAGUAGCUCAGUCAAUAUCGAAACAACUCUAUAAAUUUUAUAGUGAAUUUUUUUAUUUAAAACUCAAUGUGUUAGUUUUUGGUAUAAGUUUGGUGUUUGCAAUAUGUAUAUUUAACCGAGAAAUUAUGUUUAAUAAAUAAAUGUUUA
This is a long non-coding RNA of Hydra vulgaris (swiftwater hydra), 1291 nucleotides long. RefSeq lists it as uncharacterized. NCBI's taxonomy places the organism in Eukaryota, Metazoa, Cnidaria, Hydrozoa, Anthoathecata, Hydridae. The record is from RefSeq and is a predicted model, not a curated record.